RNAcentral lists this ribosomal RNA (213 nucleotides) under uncultured bacterium. Its description in RNAcentral is "partial 16S ribosomal RNA". It matches the Rfam family "Bacterial small subunit ribosomal RNA", at positions 1278 to 1500 of the family's 1533-position model. The record is from RNAcentral.
AAACCGGUACCCAGUUCGGAUUGUAGGCUGCAACUCGCCUACAUGAAGUCGGAGUUGCUAGUAAUCGCGGAUCAGAAUGCCGCGGUGAAUGCGUUCCCGGGUCUUGUACACACCGCCCGUCACACCAUGGAAGUUGGGGGCGCCCGAAGUUGCCUAAGAAAUAAGGUACCUAAGGCGAAACCAAUGACUGGGGUGAAGUCGUAACAAGGUAGC